CUCUAGGGGUGGCAUCACCCAAACACUGAGUCCCGGAGCCUACUCGACGCACCCACCGCAUCUUCACUUUUCCAAGAAGGUUGGGGGUGAGUCCCCCACCGGCAGACCCCUGCUAAGGUGCCAAGAGUGAGCAAAGCAGGUCCUCACCCAGGAGGCUGUCUCCUGGACCCCUCACACCAGAACUCGAAGCCUGAGUAAGAAAGCAGGAGGAGUACCGUCCCCCAGCCCGUCAGUGGGGGACCGAUCGGUGCGAGAUAGAGCACCCUGAGCACGAGGACUCUGCGAUCCAAGGAAUGGGCUGCUCUGCACUGCUGUGGGCUGUGUGCCGAGACGUAUUGCCGAGAAAAAGCAGUGCUAAUACGCUGUGAUAACAUUUGGAUUUUAAAAAGAAAGAGUUACUUGUACGUGAUAGACGUUUUCUGGAAAGACACAAAGAAACGAUAACUUCAGCCUGCAGAGACGAGCUUCACUGCACUCACAGAGCAGACAGAAAUCACCUGGCACCGGGGUGCUCAAUAAAUG
Molecule: long non-coding RNA, 522 nt
Organism: Psammomys obesus (fat sand rat)
Lineage: Eukaryota; Metazoa; Chordata; Mammalia; Rodentia; Muridae
Exons: 3
Source: RefSeq, a predicted model, not a curated record